GCAAUACGAGAGUGAACUGCGAAUGGCUCAUUAUAUAAGUUAUCGUUUAUUUGAUAGUGCCUAUCCUACACGGAUAACAGUGGUAAUUCUAGAGCUAAUACGUGCCAAAAGCCCCGACUUCGGGAGGGGCGUGCUUGUCAGAGUCAGAACCAAUGCCCUCGUGGCUCCCUGGUGGAUCAUGACAAUCCUACAGAGCGCAUGGCCUCGCGCCGGCGCCGGCUCAUUCAAAUUUCUUCCCUAUCAACUUUCGACGGUACGGUCUUGGCCUACCGUGGUUACAACGGGUAACGGAGGGUUAGGGCUCGACCCCGGAGAGGGAGCCUGAGAUACGGCUACCACAUCCAAGGAAGGCAGCAGCCGCGCAAAUUAUCCAAUCCCGACACGGGGAGAUAGUGACAAUAAAUACCGAUACAGGGCUCUUUUGGGCCCCGUAAUUGGAAUGAGUACAAUUUAAACCUCUUAACGAGGAACAAUUGGAGGGCAAGUCUGGUGGACUCCCAGUCCCAUACUGGCGCCAGAGAGAGCGGUACGCCCCGCUAGUCGAGCACCCCAACCGUAGCGGGCGGGUGCCGGCGAGACAACCUGGAUCGGGGAAAGCUAAGGGACCGAGUGUCCUACGCUGAUCCCGAGCGGAGCCGCCGGGGGGUAACUCCCGGCGCGCCCGUGUAGAGCGCGCAAAGGUGUCGGUCGGUCGCUUCGGGCGGCCGGCUUAAGGUACGUGCCAAACCCCGCGAAAGCGGGACCCUGACGGGAGCGCCCGCUACGCCAUCGUCAGGGAGCUGGCGGCAGCGUCAAGCUGCCGCCAGUGGGAUCCCAUUGCCGGGAUCGCUACUAGGAGUACGGAUCCUUGGGCUCGUAUUCCGAGCCUGGCGGACGUUCUUUCAGCUAGUAGUGGUUCCGCGUUCUGGGAGUUAAAAGGCCAGCAGCCGCGGUAAUUCCAGCUCCAAUAGCGUAUAUUAAAGUUGUUGUGGUUAAAAAGCUCGUAGUCGAACCUCGGGCUCGGCCGGUCGGUCCGCCUCACCGCGUGCACUGGCCCGGCCGGGCCCUUCCCUCUGCGGAGCCGCAUGUCCUUCACUGGGCGUGCCGGGGAAGCAGGACUUUUACUUUGAAAAAAUUAGAGUGCUCAAGGCAGGCCGAUGCUCGGAUACAUUAGCAUGGAAUAAUGGAAUAGGACGUUGGUUCUAUUUUGUUGGUUUCUAGGACCGCCGUAAUGAUCAAUAGGGACGGUCGGGGGCGUCAGUAUUCAGCCGCGAGAGGUGAAAUUCUUAGACCGGCUGAAGACUAACUACUGCGAAAGCAUUCGCCAAGGACGUUUUCGCUGAUCAGGAACGAAAGUUAGGGGAUCGAAGACGAUCAGAUACCGUCGUAGUCUUAACCAUAAACGGUGCCGACUUGGGAUCGGGCGCUGCUGAACUUACGGCGCGCUCGGCACCAUUCGAGAAAUCAAAGUGCG
This 1453-nucleotide ribosomal RNA is filed under the name Savoryella nypae. RNAcentral describes it as "SSU rRNA". It matches the Rfam family "Eukaryotic small subunit ribosomal RNA", at positions 71 to 1107 of the family's 1831-position model. Lineage: Eukaryota; Fungi; Ascomycota; Sordariomycetes; Savoryellales; Savoryellaceae. The record is from RNAcentral.